Molecule: long non-coding RNA, 611 nt
Organism: Cydia pomonella (codling moth)
Lineage: Eukaryota; Metazoa; Arthropoda; Insecta; Lepidoptera; Tortricidae
Exons: 2
Source: RefSeq, a predicted model, not a curated record
GAUACGGAUAGGUACAGUCAAGUGUAAAAAUAUGGGUGUACACAUCUUACUCAAAAAUAUGUCCCAUAGCAUCUUAUUCCAGUGUAAUAAGAGCGUAGUACCAUAUUUAUGAGACGAUUCUUUCGAUACAUAUUUUUGCACUUGACUGUACGACGACAACCGAAGCUGAGACAUCAUUCUUUUUUGCAGUUUUUAACUAUAUGGUAAUUAAUAUCAAUAAAUCAAUCAAUCAUUUAUUAUUUCGUCAUCAUAGGUGUAAAAUACAUUUAGUACAGCAGGGCUAUUAUGGUCGAUUUUAUAAAUGAUAUGGCUGUAUAAAUGAUAAUAUAACUAACAUUUUAUCCAGUUUUUAUUGAUUUGACGUCUUUUCCACUUUUGACAGCGAUAGAUGUUAAAUGAUUUACUGCAUAACAUGGUCGGUGGAUAAUUUGUCAUUUGUCUAAAUUUCUGACUUAAACUUAGUUGAUAAGUGGAUAAGUUAAAUGAUAUAAAUGACACUUGUCUAGAUUUAUAUCGUUUUAUAGCAUUUAUACCGUUUUGUCUACUUUUGACAGCGAUAGACGGUAAAUGGCAACGUUUGUUGAAUAAUUAAAUAUAUAGUCGAGUUUUGA